GACGGAGGGGGCAAGCGUUGUUCGGAAUUAUUGGGCGUAAAGAGCUCGUAGGCGGUUCGGUAAGUCGGGUGUGAAACCUCCAGGCUCAACCUGGAGAUGCCACCUGAUACUGCUGUGACUCGAGUCCGGUAGGGGAGCGUGGAAUUCCUGGUGUAGCGGUGAAAUGCGCAGAUAUCAGGAGGAACACCGGUGGCGAAGGCGGGUCUCUGGGAAGUAACUGACGCUGAGAAGCGAAAGCGUGGGUAGCGAACAGG
Molecule: ribosomal RNA, 254 nt
Filed under: uncultured bacterium
Lineage: Bacteria
Description: partial 16S ribosomal RNA
Rfam family: Bacterial small subunit ribosomal RNA
Source: RNAcentral